This 1360-nucleotide long non-coding RNA is filed under the name Sarcophilus harrisii (Tasmanian devil). RNAcentral describes it as "lncRNA (ENSSHAG00000022552.1)". Lineage: Eukaryota; Metazoa; Chordata; Mammalia; Dasyuromorphia; Dasyuridae. The record is from RNAcentral.
GGCGCCUGCGCUAGAUCCUGUUCUCGGCGCCAUUUUGUCUCGGCAGCGGUGGCGGUAGCUCUUUCCCAUUUUAAGCUUCGCGAGGAGAGGAGUGGAGUCUUUACCCGGUUGAUUCGUUCUUGUGGACUAGGCGUUCACCUUCCGUCCCGGUUUUAUUGUAAAAAGUGUAGAUUGGGUGAACUUCAGAACCUUUGAAGAUUGUUGCAGAGAUGUAUCCUGAACAUUUGUGGGGGAAAGUUAUCAAAGGCUAUUAGCCCUUAAAUCUGGAUCUAUCUUCAUACUGUUUCUUGGAAUGUUUCUGAUUUCUUUCCCUAAAAUGCCAGAACAUCUGAGCUUUUACUUUUAUAUGAAGAACAUGAAAACAAGAAAUUAUGCUGGACCAUCAAAGUCAACAGAACCAGAUUUUGAAUAUGUUCAGUCAUUGAAGAAAACCAUCAUCUUUUUUAAAGAAAGAAAUAAUCUUAUUCUUCCAAAUAGUUGAAAUGUAAAGAACACAUUUAUGUUUUCAGAAAAGUACAAAGGCUUGAAAUGCAAGAAAGUAAAUUCAAAUGUAAGGCCUGUUUAAAAUUCAGCAUUUAGGAAUGACAACAGAAAAGUCAUGUCAAGUAUUUAAAGAAUGAAUUGUAUAUUUAGUGAUUUCAAAAGUCAUACAACUACCAACCUCUGUGGGAGAGAAGUUAGCCCCCUUACUAAAAAAGAGUUUUCAGUACUAUUUACAAUGUAUUAAAAGGUUAUAGAACUUUAAUAUUGAGAGAGCAAUAGAAUUUCAAGAAAAAGUAUUAGAUAUGCAGGGUAUUGUUUACCUACAUAAUAUAAUACCUCAAGAGUAAACACAGAUGCCACAGUGGAUAGUGCAAUCAGGAAUAUGCAAUCAAAUCCUACCUCCUAUACUUAAACUAGCUGUGUGACCCCAGGCAAGUCAUUUAGUUUUGUCUCAUGUAAAAUAGGAUAACAAUGACAUCUAAAGAAUUUAUUUGCAGCCCAAUUCAGUCACCUACUAAAUGGGUAAUAUUUAUUGCUGUAAAGAAUUUGUAUUUUCAAUACAUAUUUUAUUUUCUUGUCUACUAAAUGAUUGUGGCUUAAUAAUACAUAUUUGAAAAUAAACUUCAUUGCAAUUUUGUCCUGUAAUGCUGAAAAAUAAAUUCGUUCAAAAUUUUCCUAUAAAAUAAAGUUCAUUUAAAAAUAUUUCUGGAUAACAUUCAUUCUGUUUAUCACCAAUCUAAUAAAAGUAAAAUUUAUAGCUUAAAAAAUUUUAAAUUAUAGAAAUUGGAGCAGUGUUAUGGGACCAAGAUGAGUAGCAUGUAGUUUACUAACUGCUACAUGAUGAACACAUACUACCUUUAUUCACAUUUUUCUUUUA